Molecule: long non-coding RNA, 1604 nt
Organism: Rosa chinensis
Lineage: Eukaryota; Viridiplantae; Streptophyta; Magnoliopsida; Rosales; Rosaceae
Exons: 5
Source: RefSeq, a predicted model, not a curated record
CUCUCAAGAACUCUCUCGGGGUCUCUCCCGCUCUCUCUUAUCCUAUCUGAUGAAAUCACACCUUGAUCAUGGUCAAGACGACGUAGCUGCUGGUUAGUUCAAGGUUUGACGCUAAUCUUCUGUUCCAGGCUACGACAGAGAUGGAGUUCGGGUCAUUCGGUGAUGCACCGUCAACAUUGAUGACUUGUAGAACCCAACAUGCAAGAUCAUCAUUCUUCUCCUCUUGUCAUUGUGAGACUCGAUUGCGUACGUUCCCUUGUUCAUGGGCUUUGCGGCAGAAGACCCAGACCUCUCCAAGUUGUAAGUAUACGUCUGGGAACCUAUCUCGUGUUCAAUCUUUGAUUAUCAAAGAAAUAAGUUUGAUUUUGGGUUUUUGAACUUGGCUUUUGGUUUUCGGUGAUGAUGGGAGGCUGGGACUUAAUUGGGUGAGUUCAAUGGGUGGAGUCGGAUAACAAGUUGGCGCUAGUUCCAAUGGAGUCAUGCGUUGAGAAGAGAGAAGGAACCAGAGAAGUAGAAGAAGGCGUGCUGCUGCUUCUUGUCCAACAACGCAGCAAGAAGGAAGAUGUUUAAGCUAAUUUAUAAGACCUCCAGUUAUCCACGAUGCAAGUAGUGGUGGUGUUUGCCGAACAUUGUGGAGUAAAGGCUCAAGCUCCAGGAAUACCAGAUUGUAUGACGACCUGAGAGUGAGCGGAGCAUAGCGACUACCUUGGGUUUCAAUCCCCUAAACCUCCGGAGGGGCUAUACGGACGGUAUAGUGUCUGACAUCCUUUGUGGUGUGGCACUAUUUCUAGGUGAUACGGCGUAAAUAGACACUCUCGCUACUCCUUACCGGUUGAAAUGUUAAUCUUGGUAAGGGUGUAGUUGGCAUAGUGACCGGUCAUCAGCUUUGGAUGCAGGUACUGUGCACAAGAAUGGAGAGAGCUGAAUCAAGUUGGGUGUGCAUAAUUGUUCGAUGUUAAGUGUCUUUGAAACUUUGAAAUCACACGUAAGGCUUCAAUUUCAUAUCCUAGUGUUUGGCACAUUUCUUGUUUGGCACAUUUCUUGUAUUAUUGGAAAUCUUGUAUUAUUGGAAAUCUUGCUCGGAAAUCUUGCUCGGUAUUAUUGGAAAUCUUGCUCGGCAUAAACUAGAGAGAAUUCCCAUGUCUUCAACAUGCUUCUUGAAAACUGAAACUGGUAAUGCCUUGGUAAAAGGGUCUGCAAGCUGUGCAUCUGUGCUAAUGGCAGCUACAUUAUCACAAUAAACGUACAGCUUUCCAUCAACAAGAUUACUUAAAUCUUUGUUUCCAAAAGAAAGUUUCUGAUCCAUAGGCCUUCACAUACACCUUCAUAUAUGGCUAUAAUUUCUGCUUGCAUGGUGGAUGUGGCGAUCAAUGAUUGUUUCAUUGUUUUCCAAGCCAAUGCACCACCUGCCAACAUAUAUACAUAGCCACAAGUAGACUUCAUUGAUGCAGGAUAAUUGCCUGCAAAAUCUGAGUCUGUGAAGCCUACAUGUUCAAGUUUCUUCACACACUUAUACAGAAGCAUGUGACUCUUAGUCCUCUGUAGGUAUCUCAAUACCUUUUUUCCAGUAGUCCAAUGCUUGUGUCCAGGAUCAGAUUGAAAUC